RNAcentral lists this small RNA (28 nucleotides) under Bombyx mori (domestic silkworm). RNAcentral's name for it is "ovarian small RNA-3657". Lineage: Eukaryota; Metazoa; Arthropoda; Insecta; Lepidoptera; Bombycidae. The record is from RNAcentral.
UGAGUGAGAGUCGGCCGUCUUCAGGCAG